GACGAACGCUGGCGGCGUGCUUAACACAUGCAAGUCGAACGGCGAACGAGGGAGCUUGCUCCCUCCGGAACAGUGGCGAACGUGUGUGUAACACGUGCGCAAUCUGCGCCGCACGCGGGGAUAAGCGUUGGAAACGACUUCUAAUACCGGAUAAGACUCGGGAGGGCAUCCUCUCUGGGUGGAACGAACUGCGGCUCGGGUUGGGAUCGCGUCGUUUCGGCUUGUGGGUGAGGUAACGCCCCACCAAGGGGAGGUCGGUUAGCGGGCCCGAGAGGGGGACCGGCCACACUGGGCCUGCGACACGGCCCAGACUCCUACGGGAGGCAGCGGUGGGGAAUGUUGCACAAUGGGCGCAAGCCUGAUGGAGCAACGCCGGGUGAGGGACGCCGGCCUUCGGGUUGUAAACCUCUUUUAGCAGGGAAGAAGCGAAAGUGACGGUACCUGCAGAAAAAGCAACGGCUAACUACGUG
RNAcentral lists this ribosomal RNA (470 nucleotides) under uncultured bacterium. RNAcentral describes it as "partial 16S ribosomal RNA". It matches the Rfam family "Bacterial small subunit ribosomal RNA", at positions 28 to 507 of the family's 1533-position model. The record is from RNAcentral.